AGUGAACGCUGGCGGUAGGCCUAACACAUGCAAGUCGAACGGCAGCACAGGAGAGCUUGCUCUCUGGGUGGCGAGUGGCGGACGGGUGAGGAAUACAUCGGAAUCUACUCUGUCGUGGGGGAUAACGUAGGGAAACUUACGCUAAUACCGCAUACGACCUAAGGGUGAAAGUGGGGGACCGCAAGGCCUCACGCGAUUGAAUGAGCCGAUGUCGGAUUAGCUAGUUGGCGGGGUAAAGGCCCACCAAGGCGACGAUCCGUAGCUGGUCUGAGAGGAUGAUCAGCCACACUGGAACUGAGACACGGUCCAGACUCCUACGGGAGGCAGCAGUGGGGAAUAUUGGACAAUGGGCGCAAGCCUGAUCCAGCCAUACCGCGUGAGUGAAGAAGGCCUUCGGGUUGUAAAGCUCUUUUGUUGGGAAAGAAAUCCUGUUGAUUAAUACUCGACAGGGAUGACGGUACCCAAAGAAUAAGCACCGGCUAACUUCGUGCCAGCAGCCGC
This 501-nucleotide ribosomal RNA is filed under the name uncultured bacterium. RNAcentral describes it as "bacterial SSU rRNA". It matches the Rfam family "Bacterial small subunit ribosomal RNA", at positions 29 to 518 of the family's 1533-position model. The record is from RNAcentral.